UGCAGUCGACGAUGAACCACUUCGGUGGGGAUUAGUGGCGAACGGGUGAGUAACACGUGGGCAAUCUGCCCUUCACUCUGGGACAAGCCCUGGAAACGGGGUCUAAUACCGGAUAUGAGCCUGGGAGGCAUCUCCUGGGUUGUAAAGCUCCGGCGGUGAAGGAUGAGCCCGCGGCCUAUCAGCUUGUUGGUGAGGUAAUGGCUCACCAAGGCGACGACGGGUAGCCGGCCUGAGAGGGCGACCGGCCACACUGGGACUGAGACACGGCCCAGACUCCUACGGGAGGCAGCAGUGGGGAAUAUUGCACAAUGGGCGAAAGCCUGAUGCAGCGACGCCGCGUGAGGGAUGACGGCCUUCGGGUUGUAAACCUCUUUCAGCAGGGAAGAAGCGAAAGUGACGGUACCUGCAGAAGAAGCGCCGGCUAACUACGUGCCAGCAGCCGCGGUAAUACGUAGGGCGCAAGCGUUGUCCGGAAUUAUUGGGCGUAAAGAGCUCGUAGGCGGCUUGUCACGUCGAUUGUGAAAGCCCGAGGCUUAACCUCGGGUCUGCAGUCGAUACGGGCUAGCUAGAGUGUGGUAGGGGAGAUCGGAAUUCCUGGUGUAGCGGUGAAAUGCGCAGAUAUCAGAGGAACACCGGUGGCGAAGGCGGAUCUCUGGGCCAUUACUGACGCUGAGGAGCGAAAGCGUGGGGAGCGAACAGGAUUAGAUACCCUGGUAGUCCACGCCGUAAACGGUGGGAACUAGGUGUUGGCGACAUUCCACGUCGUCGUGCCGCAGCUAACGCAUUAAGUUCCCCGCCUGGGGAGUACGCCGCAAGGCUAAAACUCAAAGAAUUGACGGGGCCCGCACAAGCGGCGGAGCAUGUGGCUUAAAUCGACGCAACGCGAAGA
This 889-nucleotide ribosomal RNA is filed under the name Streptomyces sp. RNAcentral describes it as "bacterial SSU rRNA". It matches the Rfam family "Bacterial small subunit ribosomal RNA", at positions 56 to 967 of the family's 1533-position model. The record is from RNAcentral. Lineage: Bacteria; Bacillati; Actinomycetota; Actinomycetes; Kitasatosporales; Streptomycetaceae.